UGCUUCCUUCUAGAUUGGGAUGCUGGAAAUGUUUUCCCAGCACCUUGGCUGGAAGAUAAUUUGGAUCCAGAGGGUCUUCCCACAGGCUGAGCCCUGGUUUUGUGCGAUCCAGUCCUGGGAAAUAGAACUACUUUCUCUUAAGGUCCUCCAAAAGGAAAGACCGAAGCUAAAGAAGAAAAUAAAUCUCUGAAGCCAUCCGAACUUCUGGACCAGAUGCUGAGUGAUCUGGAGAGACGCCGUGGUGGGUGCAUUUCCCUCAGCCUUGUCCUGGGACUCAGCAGCCGGGGCUUUCCCUGCACACCUGGACAGGCCGUGCCCGGCACAGUGGGAAGGGAUCCAUGGCAGCCUCGCUGCCCCGCUGCUGCUCUCACAGCCUGCAGGGCUGUUUCCCAGCCUGGGCUGGCUGCAGCUUCUCCCCAGCCUCUGCAGGAAGGCAUUUGGCACCAGCUGACAGGGAGCCCCAACUGCACCACGGGCCAUGCACACCCUGAGAUCCCCUGCAGUUUCCCUAUCUCUGAGGAGAUCGGGAAGGGAAGCUGUUUGAAAGAGGGAGGGUUUUAGGGAGAGACCCCAAAGCCCACCUGAUUUCCUGAAGCCUAUUCAUGACUUUGACAAGCAUUGCCUCAUGAAGAUGCCCCCUCCCCUAUGGGAAACAACCCCACCUGAUCCAGCUGUGCCUCUUCUAUUCUCCAGAAUUGAAAGGAGAGCCUGUGCAGAAGGAAGCAUUUCCCAGAGGAAGCAGUGGCUCAUUGGCAGCCUCUGCUGCAGGAAGGGAGGCGAUGCCAGGCACAGUCACAGGAGGUAAUUGCUGUGCCUCUGGGCCUGAGCCCUGCUGAGCCUUGAGCUGCCCUCUCUGCUGCUUGGCAGGGCGGGCACAGCCCGGACAAGGCCGGCACAGCCCAGAGGGAUUGUUAUGCUCAGGGCACUCGGGUACUGAGCAGUCCUGCUGGGGUCCCUCUGUGGGAGACACGUCCCAAAACCUGGGAGUGACUGCACGGGGUGCCCAUGGUGGGGAAAGGGCAGAGGGGGAGAGCAAGGCUGCAGGGUGUCCUGACAGGGCCUGGCUAUGUGCCCUGGGGCUGGGGGAUUUGUCCCAGCAGUAGGACAGCUGGAGGGACAGGGGGAGGCAGGGAUACCUGUGGAACUGCCUGCUGCAGUUUUCCCCUGGGCUUUAGGGAGGGUUUCCUCUGUGGGAGGAAGAGAACCCCCAAGGCCCGGGGCUGCUCCAGCUGCCUCUCCAUGGAUGUUGCCAGGGCCUGCAAGAAGAUGGACAGUGACCAGGAGCAAGCCCUGAGCUCCCCAGGCCCCUGUGCUCCUUUGGCCUUCUCCAUUCAGAUAUGAAUCCCACUUCCUUACCCGACCCCCUUGCAAGUGCUCAGUUCCUAAAGGCAGAAGGGGACCACAGCAGACCAAGGAAAUAGUUCUGAUCUGUGCUCCCUUCUAGAUUGGGAUGGUGACUUUGAUUAUUUGGAAGUCCUGGCGCAUAACCAUUUUAAGUUCUUGGAGGAUGCUGAAGGCAAGUUCUCUGUGUGCCUUUCCUGACAGAGUAAUCAGUGUCCAUCUGGCAAGAGCUCACUCAUGCUACACUUCCUUUUCACAUAAUCUCAGGGCUGAAGAAAUCUGGAAGCCUUGCUCUGCUCCCUUCUAGAGCCCUGAGUGAUCCCAUAUGAUCGCUGUCAGUGGGAGGAAGGAACAUUUAGCUGUCCAUCUUCCUCCCAUGUGCAAUGCCAGAGUGUCCUUCUGUGUGCUCUGUGCAGCCCCAGAGAAGAGCAGAGAGGGAAGGGGCCGGGCCCAGGGCUGUGCCCCGGGGCUGAGCCUUUCCCAGCUCCUUUGCCUGCCCCAGGGAGCCUGAGCUGCUCCUGCUGCUGCUGCCAAGGCCUGGCCCUGGCUGGGGCUGGGUUUAGAGCUGCUGGCAGCUCCAGGGAGUCCUUUCUGCCCCGACUGCCCCACAACUUGCUCCUUCCAUCCCAGUGUGGGGCCACCGCAGGCUCGUGGUCCCCCUGCCCCUGCUCCAGGGUGGAAGGCAGAGCUGAGAGAAUGCCUUGGAGGGCACCAAUCACCCAGGGGCGCUCACUGCCACUGCGGCCUGAAGGAGAAUCUUCAGCAGUGUCACAGGAGCUGUUCUGUCCUGCCUUUCUUUGCAGAUAACCCUGCUGGUGAAAGUGAUCUGGCUUCCCAACCCACGUUCAGGACUGAGCCUAUGGGAUACAGGAAUGACCCUCUGGGAGAUGCUGAGGGCACCACCUUGAAGAAAAGCUGAAAGCUGGUGGCUGGUCCCGAGACCUCUACAGCCAAAAGAGCAAUAGCAGCAGCUCUGAGUCUAACCAGAUUUUAUUUUCACAUCCAAGCUUCACUAUGCUUUGAGGCCACAGGCCCAGCCCUCCAUUCAGGGCAUCAGGUGAAAGCUCCAGGAAGGGAUUCAGAAGUGCUCAACUGAACCUUCACUGAGAGAAUCCAAAAUCAGCUCUUCUAAUUCAAUAAAGAGAUGGAGCUGU
This 2495-nucleotide long non-coding RNA is filed under the name Taeniopygia guttata (zebra finch). RNAcentral's name for it is "lncRNA (ENSTGUG00000019251.1)". Lineage: Eukaryota; Metazoa; Chordata; Aves; Passeriformes; Estrildidae. The record is from RNAcentral.